GGGGUGGAGCAGUCUGGUAGCUCGUCGGGCUCAUAACCCGAAGGUCGUCGGUUCGAAUCCGGCCCCCGCAACCA
RNAcentral lists this transfer RNA (74 nucleotides) under Lonsdalea populi. RNAcentral's name for it is "tRNA-Met". It matches the Rfam family "tRNA". Rfam says of the family: Transfer RNA (tRNA) molecules are approximately 80 nucleotides in length. Lineage: Bacteria; Pseudomonadati; Pseudomonadota; Gammaproteobacteria; Enterobacterales; Pectobacteriaceae. The record is from RNAcentral.